RNAcentral lists this unclassified non-coding RNA (474 nucleotides) under Hevea brasiliensis (rubber tree). Lineage: Eukaryota; Viridiplantae; Streptophyta; Magnoliopsida; Malpighiales; Euphorbiaceae. The record is from RNAcentral.
CCAGGCAUGGAUCAAGUCAUUCUGUACAGGUGAAAGAUCCUUGGUUAAUGAUUAUUAUGAAGGCAGAGAUGAUAUAGAGAUGACAAUGCAAAAUAGGCUCUAAUGACUGACCAAGUAAGGUGGUCAACUUGGAUUCAUUAGUAAUUCUAUAGCCUGCCUAAUGUACAGAGGAUAGAAUAACUGAAGGCAGAACAAAAAUACCACCUCUAUCAAGUUUGAUUCAGUACGAUUAGCAAUUUACCAGCCAUUUUGUCACAUAAUCAAUCAAGCAUCAGUAGUAACUUUUUAACAUAACAUUGCCGUUGAGUUUUUAGUUAUGGAUGGCCAAUUAUGUCUUUAUCGAGUGCUAGUACCACCCCAGCACCCCCUCAGGUUCCAAUAUGAAAAGGACUUGUUGAGACAGUAACUAUUAUACCUGGAUCAUAUUCCAUACACAUUGCCAAGCUGCCCUUGAGAAGACAGGUGCCAUCAUUU